RNAcentral lists this ribosomal RNA (495 nucleotides) under uncultured bacterium. RNAcentral describes it as "partial 16S ribosomal RNA". It matches the Rfam family "Bacterial small subunit ribosomal RNA", at positions 28 to 507 of the family's 1533-position model. The record is from RNAcentral.
GACGAACGCUGGCGGCGUGCCUAAUACAUGCAAGUAGAACGCAGAAGGAGGAGCUUGCUUCGCUGGAUGAGUUGCGAACGGGUGAGUAACACGUAGGUAACCUGCCCUGUACCGGGGGAUAACUAUUGGAAACUAGAGCUAAUACCGCAUAAGACUAGAUGUUGCAUGACAUUUGCUUAAAAGUUUCAAUUGCGUGACUAGCACAUGGACCUGCGGUGUAUUAGCUAGUUGGUGGGGUACCGGCUCAUCAAGGCGACGAUGCAUAGCCGAGAUGAGAGGGGGAACGGCACCACUGGGAGUGAGAGACGGCCCAGGAUCCUAGGGGAGGCAGAGGUAGGGAAGCGUAGGAGAUGGGGGGAAGUCUGAACGAGGAACGCCGGGUUGAUGAAGAAGGUUUUCGGAUCGUAAAACUGUGUUCUAAUAGUAGACCGCGUGCGCGAGUGGAAAGUCCACACUGUGACGGUACCUGAAGAGAAAGGGACGGCUAACUACGUG